UUGACAGCACUGGAGACUAAGUUCUGAAUUUAUUCAUCAAACAGGUUCAGCACGGGUAGCAGCAGUGCAAGCUCCCCCACACUGCCCCUCCAUUGUGCCUCAACUCUGACCUGGAGGGACCACCUCUGGGGGUGAGAGCGUAGUUCACUCUCCGUGCUUCUUCAGUCCUUGGAUUCU
RNAcentral lists this small RNA (177 nucleotides) under Coturnix japonica (Japanese quail). Its description in RNAcentral is "TUC338 (ENSCJPG00005019332.1)". Lineage: Eukaryota; Metazoa; Chordata; Aves; Galliformes; Phasianidae. The record is from RNAcentral.